RNAcentral lists this transfer RNA (51 nucleotides) under Leptotrombidium akamushi. RNAcentral's name for it is "tRNA-Phe". Lineage: Eukaryota; Metazoa; Arthropoda; Arachnida; Trombidiformes; Trombiculidae. The record is from RNAcentral.
UUGUAUAGCUUAUAUAAAGUGUUGUUUUGAAGAAACAAAGAAAAAUGCAAU